RNAcentral lists this transfer RNA (71 nucleotides) under Loxodonta africana (African savanna elephant). It matches the Rfam family "tRNA". Rfam says of the family: Transfer RNA (tRNA) molecules are approximately 80 nucleotides in length. Their secondary structure includes four short double-helical elements and three loops (D, anti-codon, and T loops). Further hydrogen bonds mediate the characteristic L-shaped molecular structure. tRNAs have two regions of fundamental functional importance: the anti-codon, which is responsible for specific mRNA codon recognition, and the 3' end, to which the tRNAs corresponding amino acid is attached (by aminoacyl-tRNA synthetases). tRNAs cope with the degeneracy of the genetic code in two manners: having more than one tRNA (with a specific anti-codon) for a particular amino acid; and 'wobble' base-pairing, i.e. permitting non-standard base-pairing at the 3rd anti-codon position. Lineage: Eukaryota; Metazoa; Chordata; Mammalia; Proboscidea; Elephantidae. The record is from Rfam by way of RNAcentral.
GCAGUGGUCACUCAGUGGUAGACUUCCGUUCUUCCACGCUGGAAACCCAGGUUCAAAUCCUGUCUACUGCA